AAUAUCUUGAUGUGGCAUGGAAGGACUCAGGACACUGCAUGGGUCCUAAGCCACUCCCUGCUUCAUUUGUAAUUGCUUGUUUUAUUGAAAUUAUUAGCAAAGUGUGAUACUGGAAGAAUUUAUUUGAAUCUCUCUUUUCCUUGGCUAAGAAGAAUGAAGAGGCAGGAGACUUGGGGGACCCCUUAACUGGGGAUAAUUACUGGGACAAAUCAGCCAGCACAAAGAGGAGGCACUAAACAAUCAGUCCUGGUCUCUGUUAUCAGAGACUUUUGAUGCUACCAUUGGAGUCAGACAAGCAGACAAACAUCAACAAAAUGAUUAUAAACUAUGACACACUAUGAUGGGAAAGAAGGAGGCUGACAGAGAGGACAUUGGCAGGAAGGAGCCCUACUGUAGAUGUGGUGGUCAGAGAAGGGCCUUUGUGAGAAGCUGACACAUAAUCUCACAGUUGAAGUUGUGAGAAGGAGCUGGUCCUCCAGAGAGAAGUAGGAAGAGCGCUCCAGCAGAAUCUCUGGACAAGUGCAGCUACGACUGCUGCUGGGACCGCGAUACUGUGAUGAGACUUUGCAUAUUUAAAAGGAUGUCGAGAGAGGAGGAGGAAUGAUAAAUGAACUCAGGAAGAUGUGAUGUCUUCUGUGAUGACACUAAUAGAUGGAAUGCAGAAUUCAGCUCCAAUACUUAGGGUUGGAAACCAAACAUAAACAAGCAAGCAAGGAAAAUGAAAAGGAAUGUGUGUGUGUGUGUGUGUGUGUGUGUGUGUGUGUGUGUGUAGGUGUGAGAGUAUAUGAAAUACAUGAAAAGAUAAAAAGUUAGAUGCUGCUAAAGGGACAGACAUGUAGGAAUUUUACAUUAGGGUUGUUCUGAUUUUCAUUUUCUUGCCUUUUAAAAUUUAAUGAUAAACAAGUCUCCAGAGAUUUUUACAGCCUGGGAGACCACUGGUAAGACAACAAUAUAGGUGGUCCUCCAGCAGGAUCUAAAUCAGAGCCUUCAUAGUGGACUGUCGGGCCAGGUGCAGCUGUAGACAAUGCAUCUUCAGGAGUGGGGUGAAGAAAUUUAAUGGACUAGUAAUGCAACAGGAGGUAGAAGAAAAGUGUUCUCUCACUAAAGCAUGGUGGGUGUUUUCAAAAUGUUUAAAAAACAUUUUUAGGCCGGGCACAGUGGCUCACACCUGUAAUCUCAGAGCUUGGGGUGGCUGAGGACCCAAAAGGAGGAUCCCUUGAUGCCAGGAGUUGUAGACCAGCCUGGUCUAACAUAGCAAUACCCUGUCUCUAAAAAAAAAAAAAAAAAAAAAAAUUAAUUAGCCAGGCAGGUGACAAGUGCCUGUAGUCCCAGUUACUCAGGAGGAUAAGGCAGGAGGAUCGCUUGAACCCAAGAAUUUGAGGUUGUGGUAAGCUGUGAUCGUGCCAUUGCACUCCAGCCUGGGUGACAGAGUAAGACCUCAAUUCUUUUUUUUUUUUUUUUUUUUUUUUUG
This 1471-nucleotide long non-coding RNA is filed under the name Homo sapiens (human). RNAcentral's name for it is "HSALNT0018580". The record is from RNAcentral. Lineage: Eukaryota; Metazoa; Chordata; Mammalia; Primates; Hominidae.